RNAcentral lists this ribosomal RNA (152 nucleotides) under uncultured Alphaproteobacteria bacterium. RNAcentral describes it as "partial 16S ribosomal RNA". It matches the Rfam family "Bacterial small subunit ribosomal RNA", at positions 335 to 504 of the family's 1533-position model. Lineage: Bacteria; Pseudomonadati; Pseudomonadota; Alphaproteobacteria. The record is from RNAcentral.
ACUCCUACGGAAGGCAGCAGUGGGGAAUAUUGGACAAUGGGNGAAAGCNUGAUCCAGCCAUGCCGCGUGAGUNAANAAGGCCUUAGGGUUGUAAAGCUCUUUCACCGGUGAAGAUAAUGACGGUANCCGNAGAAGAAGCGUCGGCUAACUCC